This 507-nucleotide ribosomal RNA is filed under the name uncultured glomeraceous AM fungus. RNAcentral's name for it is "SSU rRNA". It matches the Rfam family "Eukaryotic small subunit ribosomal RNA", at positions 569 to 1078 of the family's 1831-position model. Lineage: Eukaryota; Fungi; Glomeromycota; Glomeromycetes; Glomerales; Glomeraceae. The record is from RNAcentral.
AGCAGCCGCGGUAAUUCCAGCUCCAAUAGCGUAUAUUAAAGUUGUUGCAGUUAAAAAGCUCGUAGUUGAAUUUCGGGGUUAGUAGAUUGGUCAUGCCUCUGGUAUGUACUGGUCUCACUGAUUCCUCCUUCCUGAUGAUCCGUAAUGCCAUUAAUUUGGUGUUGCGGGGAAUUUGGACUGUUACUUUGAAAAAAUUAGAGUGUUUAAAGCGACUAACGCUUGAAUACAUUAGCAUGGAAUAAUGAAAUAGGACGUUCGAUCCUAUUUUGUUGGUUUCUAGGAUUGACGUAAUGAUUAAUAGGGAUAGUUGGGGGCAUUAGUAUUCAAUUGUCAGAGGUGAAAUUCUUGGAUUUAUUGAAGACUAACUACUGCGAAAGCAUUUGCCAAGGAUGUUUUCAUUAAUCAAGAACGAAAGUUAGGGGAUCGAAGACGAUCAGAUACCGUCGUAGUCUUAACCAUAAACUAUGCCGACUAGGGAUCGGAUGAUGUUAAUUUUUUAAUGACUCA